GAUGAACGCUGGCGGCGUGCUUAACACAUGCAAGUCGAACGAUGAAGCCCAGCUUGCUGGGUGGAUUAGUGGCGAACGGGUGAGUAACACGUGAGUAACCUGCCCUUGACUCUGGGAUAAGCCCGGGAAACUGGGUCUAAUACCGGAUAGGAGCGCCUGUCGCAUGACGGGUGCUGGAAAGAUUUUUCGGUCAUGGAUGGACUCGCGGCCUAUCAGCUUGUUGGUGAGGUAAUGGCUCACCAAGGCGACGACGGGUAGCCGGCCUGAGAGGGUGACCGGCCACACUGGGACUGAGACACGGCCCAGACUCCUACGGGAGGCAGCAGUGGGGAAUAUUGCACAAUGGGCGGAAGCCUGAUGCAGCGACGCCGCGUGAGGGAUGACGGCCUUCGGGUUGUAAACCUCUUUCAGUAGGGAAGAAGCGGAAGUGGCGGUACCUGCAGAAGAAGCACCGGCUAACUACGUG
RNAcentral lists this ribosomal RNA (466 nucleotides) under uncultured bacterium. RNAcentral describes it as "partial 16S ribosomal RNA". It matches the Rfam family "Bacterial small subunit ribosomal RNA", at positions 28 to 507 of the family's 1533-position model. The record is from RNAcentral.